RNAcentral lists this unclassified non-coding RNA (253 nucleotides) under uncultured Halomonadaceae bacterium. Its description in RNAcentral is "contains 16S-23S intergenic spacer region". It matches the Rfam family "Bacterial small subunit ribosomal RNA", at positions 524 to 776 of the family's 1533-position model. Lineage: Bacteria; Pseudomonadati; Pseudomonadota; Gammaproteobacteria; Oceanospirillales; Halomonadaceae. The record is from RNAcentral.
UACGGAGGGUGCAAGCGUUAAUCGGAAUUACUGGGCGUAAAGCGAGCGUAGGUGGCUUGAUAAGCCGGUUGUGAAAGCUCCGGGCUUAACCUGGGAACGGCAUCUGGAACUGUUAAGCUAGAGUACAGGAGAGGAAGGUAGAGUUCCCGGUAUAGCGGUGAAAUGCGUAGAGAUCGGGAGGAAUACCAGUGGCGAAGGCGGCCUUCUGGACUGAUACUGACACUGAGGUGCGAAAGCGUGGGUAGCAAACAGA